This 2765-nucleotide ribosomal RNA is filed under the name Triticum aestivum (bread wheat). RNAcentral's name for it is "partial small subunit ribosomal RNA". The record is from RNAcentral. Lineage: Eukaryota; Viridiplantae; Streptophyta; Magnoliopsida; Poales; Poaceae.
AUGAGCCCUGACCUGGACACUCAUACGUGUGGAGUAAAAAAAAGCAGGACGCAGAGUGAGCAGCAACAAGAAGUACUCCUAGUAGUAAGCAGACGAGAUGUGCUUUGUGUGGUGGAUAUGGCCUAACUUAGCCGACGAGGAGCCGGCUCCAAUCUCGGUCUCCUCUCUCCCUAAUCCUAGAGCUUAAUCGUGGCCAUCCGUUGCGGAUGAUGAUGCUCGCAGCGAGCGCGCUGCCCCUCCAAGGUUGGAAACGCCAGAUCUCAGCUGUUACCUACCAACAGCCACAUUCAGUCCCACGCGCUGUGUUCAGAGUAUCUGCAACAAAGAAUAAUGAGAGGAAACGGAGGCGCGCCCGGAAUCUGCCCAAAGGCCCAGCGUUGAUCGCCGAGGAAGCUUCUCCGAGCAACGGCGAAAACCCCGCCACCAUCCUCGGUCUCGAUGGCGAUGGUGAUGCUACUAGUGAUGGCAAAGUUGCAGGUGCCCCAAGGGGUGCUGUUCUUCAGUCCUGCACUCUCACAUCCGGCUUGCUGCUUGCAGCAGGUCUCCUUCUUCGUGAGGCAUCACACAUUGCAUCUUCAAAUGAAUUGCCAUUUGCUGACCCUACAGCCAUAUCAUUCAAUUUUGAAACUUGGCAUCUCGAGUUGGUCGCUGGACUCGUAAUAUUGAUAUCGUCUACCAGAUACAUUCUGCUGCAGACAUGGCCCGAUUUCAGAGAUUCCAGUGAAGCUGCAAAUACACAGAUCCUUACUUCCCUGGAGUCUCUGGAUUACAUAGUAGUUGCUUGUCUCCCUGGAAUAAGCGAAGAGUUCCUGUUUCGAGGUGCAUUGAUGCCAAUUUUUGGAUUGAAUUGGAUAAGUGCUCUAGCAACUGGUGUAUUUUUCGGCGUUCUUCACUUGGGCAACGGCAGGAAAUAUUCAUUUGCAGUCUGGGCAACAUUUGUAGGCCUUGCCUAUGGUUUAGCAACCAUAGCUUCCUCAAGCAUCAUAGUCCCAAUGGCUUCUCAUUCCAUAAACAAUAUUAUUGGAGGCUUACUUUGGCGCUUCGGAGACAACUCAGAAAGAAAAAUAUAGAUUGGAUCAUGUUGCUUCAAAGUAACAAACGUAACAGUGUUAUUGGAAAAGUAACAUACAGCACAACUGAAAACUUAGACUUUCCGAUGUACUACUUACUACAAAAUCAUGCCAAGACAGCACACCGGGAGUAUCUCCUGUCUUGUUCCCAAGAUGGGCAAAGUGAAGACACAUCCUGAUACGGUUUUACAGACUUGAUAUUACUCGCAGCACUUUUCACAAACAGGUGGAAACCUGUGGAUGUUACAGUAGCAGCAGGCCACACUGCAGUAAUUGUUGCAACCUGUAAAUAGUAUCAGUUCAUUCAAGAAAAUCAGUAACCUCAGCAUGACUUGUAACAAUGUAUGUAUUCUACGACUGUUUGAAGGCUGAUGAUGCAAAGCAAAACAUGGCGGCACAAUCUCUCCUAAUAGCCAAAAGCAUGUCAAAGCUUACAUAAGCUGCGGAAAGCAUCAUGAUAAGACAGAGAGUUUCAGCAGAUUACCAGUGAUAACAAUGUAUCCAGACGUUCGUGCGCUCCUCGAGCUAGCCGCGGGUAGAGGCGGUGCAAGAGAAAGAAACCCAAGGGGGAGCAGAAUGCAAGAGAUGAGAAGUAUCCUCAUGAAAAUGGUCUUGCAACCAGCAGGCAUCUUGAGCUUGAUUGGUUAAGCUGACGAUAGGAACACCAGGAUUAAGAUGAUACUAGCUUAUAUAUAUGCGUGGUUGUUCAGUGUCCUUUUUUGGCAGGUGAGUGUUAGGAAGAGGGAGAUCAGUAACUCAUUCCCUUUGCCAAGCCUACAUAACUUUCUGUCCAGAGGUUUGGAUACUCUUGCCAGGUAGAGUUGUUAAUUCCUGCAAGCAAGGUGUGACUGAUUGUUUUGGUUUUCAAACAAACAUGGUAAAUAUGGCAGGACGCACCGAUGAAAUGGUGAGAGCAUUUACGAAGUGCAAAAAUGCCGGAACUCCGAAGGAAUGCCAACUGCUCUCUCUGAACCUUUGCGACACUUAUUUUUGCGCAUCCAUGGGAGCACGACCUCCGCCGGCCAUCCCUCUCCACGGCGAAUCAAUCGUCGGAAAAGAUCAAAUCGAGGCAACGGCAUAUCCACAUCAAGGGGCCAAUCAAAGAGCAUUGACCCUUGCUUAUCCACCACCAUGAACUCCACGCAACCAAAUAAUCCUCGUUUGUCCUCAUUAACUUAGGUAACCAAACUGCAACCACCACCAACAAGGCCUUGUGACAAGACACGUUUAGCAUCUCAUCCCGGCAUAAUAACUUUCACGUGUCCAGGUCCGCUUGACUCGAUCCACAAGCCGCCUGCAGGUCUCAGACCACGCUAGAUUGUGCUGGUCAACACUCAACAGAGGCAGUACAAUAUAAUUCCGCUGAAUGCUGCACGAGAAGCUCCGGCUCCAGAAGCUUGACAAGCAAGAAAAGCUAGACGUUCCUUAAUUAUAUACUAUCUGCAGGUCCGUUCAUGCAUGGACUACCAAAAAGGCUUGUCAUGCCAACAGUACAGUCUCCGAGAAACUGCAUCUGAAGUACUCCUACUAGCCAGAAACAUGUGGGUCUUAGAGGGAUUCUGUCAACUUUGCUGUUUGUUUCACUGGAACUGGAAAACACAGGUAAUCCUAAUGAACAUUGCCAAAGGAAAACUUGGGUGUUUUUCCUUUGAAACCGGGAUCACAGGAAAAAAUCCCUCCAAUUUUCCUUCGCCC